Molecule: ribosomal RNA, 452 nt
Filed under: uncultured bacterium
Lineage: Bacteria
Description: bacterial SSU rRNA
Rfam family: Bacterial small subunit ribosomal RNA
Source: RNAcentral
GACGAACGCUGGCGGCGCGCCUAACACAUGCAAGUCGAACGGAGUUGUUUUGGAGAAGCCCUUCGGGGUGGAACUGAUUCAACUUAGUGGCGGACGGGUGAGUAACACGUGAGCAACCUGCCUUACAGAGGGGAAUAACGUUUGGAAACGAACGCUAAUACCGCAUAACAUAACGGAAUCGCAUGGUUUUGUUAUCAAAGAUUAUAUCGCUGUAAGAUGGGCUCGCGUCUGAUUAGAUAGUUGGUGAGGUAAUGGCUCACCAAGUCGACGAUCAGUAGCCGGACUGAGAGGUUGAACGGCCACAUUGGGACUGAGACACGGGCCCAGACUCCUACGGGAGGCAGCAGUGGGAAUAUUGCACAAUGGGGGAAACCCUGAUGCAGCGACGCCGCGUGAAGGAGAAGGCCUUCGGGUGUAAACUUCUGUCUUCAGGGACGAUAAUGACGGUACCU